RNAcentral lists this transfer RNA (99 nucleotides) under Candidatus Woesearchaeota archaeon. Its description in RNAcentral is "tRNA-Gln". It matches the Rfam family "tRNA". From Rfam's summary of the family: Transfer RNA (tRNA) molecules are approximately 80 nucleotides in length. Their secondary structure includes four short double-helical elements and three loops (D, anti-codon, and T loops). The record is from RNAcentral. Lineage: Archaea; Nanobdellati; Candidatus Woesearchaeota.
AGCCCGUUCGUCUAGCGGCCAAGGAUAAAGUAAAUUUAAAAAACUUCCUUUGAGGGGACUCUGGAUCCUCUGACGGAGGUUCAAAUCCUCCACGGGCUA